RNAcentral lists this non-coding RNA (199 nucleotides) under Clostridia bacterium. RNAcentral's name for it is "6S RNA". It matches the Rfam family "6S / SsrS RNA". From Rfam's summary of the family: E. coli 6S RNA was the first non coding RNA to be sequenced, but its function was unknown until recently. The record is from RNAcentral. Lineage: Bacteria; Bacillati; Bacillota; Clostridia.
CCCGUCCUGCUCUGUUCGCGGACCGUGACGUAUAUCACCCUACACUUUUAUUUUUGGGGCUAAAGCUCGUACAGUGGGCUUGCAGACCUCCCGCGGCGGUGCCGAGUUCGGAAGAAGGGAGCGCGAAGCUGUACGGCCCGCACCCACCUGGCUUUUAGGCUAGGUUAUCUUAAGCACAUUACGGCAGAGCGGGAUGAUU